RNAcentral lists this ribosomal RNA (702 nucleotides) under Enterococcus faecalis. RNAcentral's name for it is "bacterial SSU rRNA". It matches the Rfam family "Bacterial small subunit ribosomal RNA", at positions 839 to 1533 of the family's 1533-position model. Lineage: Bacteria; Bacillati; Bacillota; Bacilli; Lactobacillales; Enterococcaceae. The record is from RNAcentral.
UUCAGUGCUGCAGCAAACGCAUUAAGCACUCCGCCUGGGGAGUACGACCGCAAGGUUGAAACUCAAAGGAAUUGACGGGGGCCCGCACAAGCGGUGGAGCAUGUGGUUUAAUUCGAAGCAACGCGAAGAACCUUACCAGGUCUUGACAUCCUUUGACCACUCUAGAGAUAGAGCUUUCCCUUCGGGGACAAAGUGACAGGUGGUGCAUGGUUGUCGUCAGCUCGUGUCGUGAGAUGUUGGGUUAAGUCCCGCAACGAGCGCAACCCUUAUUGUUAGUUGCCAUCAUUUAGUUGGGCACUCUAGCGAGACUGCCGGUGACAAACCGGAGGAAGGUGGGGAUGACGUCAAAUCAUCAUGCCCCUUAUGACCUGGGCUACACACGUGCUACAAUGGGAAGUACAACGAGUCGCUAGACCGCGAGGUCAUGCAAAUCUCUUAAAGCUUCUCUCAGUUCGGAUUGCAGGCUGCAACUCGCCUGCAUGAAGCCGGAAUCGCUAGUAAUCGCGGAUCAGCACGCCGCGGUGAAUACGUUCCCGGGCCUUGUACACACCGCCCGUCACACCACGAGAGUUUGUAACACCCGAAGUCGGUGAGGUAACCUUUUUGGAGCCAGCCGCCUAAGGUGGGAUAGAUGAUUGGGGUGAAGUCGUAACAAGGUAGCCGUAUCGGAAGGUGCGGCUGGAUCACCUCCUUUCUAAGGAA